Molecule: long non-coding RNA, 2418 nt
Organism: Centrocercus urophasianus (Greater sage-grouse)
Lineage: Eukaryota; Metazoa; Chordata; Aves; Galliformes; Phasianidae
Exons: 2
Source: RefSeq, a predicted model, not a curated record
ACGAACCAGGGAUUCACAAACGAACACAGCUCUGCUGUGCUUCAACUGCAAGCACAUCUGUCAGCCCCGACGCAGGGAGCAGCUCUGCUCUGCUCUGCUGCCAGCAGCCGAGUGCCUGAGCCCCGGAGGACGGAGCCACCAGCGAGGGAGGACGGCACAGCGCUGAAAGGCUCUCACUGCACAGGAACUCCAAAUAUUUGGACUUAAGAAGGAUUUCCAGAAACAAAAUGGGAUCUGCACGCCCCAGCGGGUCUUCCCAACAGGGAAAGGAAAGAGCAGAGCUGUGUUUUUCCUUCCCAAAAUGAAAACCAACGGGCCCAGCAUCGAGGCUGGGGCCACACGAGUGGCAGCACACAGCAGGCAGCUGCAGGACGCUCACACUGACCUCUCACUGCCUCCUGGGCGUUUGUUCUCCUGUGCACAGCAUCCAUAAACUUCUGAACGUCCUGGGCCGACCUCCUCAUUGCUGCCAUGGCUUCUCUCAGCUGAAGGGAAGGAAAAGAACGUGAAAGAGUGGGGAUUUUCAGCCUCGCUGAAUACAACGAUGUCCUGUGCCAGCAAAACCCCACUGCAGAAGUGCACCGGGAUCAGAUCUGUGCCAACUCACCAGGGUCUGAUCCUUGGGAACCUUGGGACUGCUAUCGCCUGGGGUUAGAGAGAAAAUAAGUGGUUUAAAACACACUGGGGAGGAAGAAUGCACCCUAGAAAGUCACCCAAAGAAAAGGGACCAGAGGGAAGCCUCCAUUUAAAAGCAUCCCCUGAUCCUGCCAGGAAAUUCACUCGAAAAAGGCAAUUUUACUUCCAAUCACUUCUAGAUGCAAGAAAUGCACCUGCAGCUCCUCCACAGCAAAGGACGUCCACCGUUUGACGUGGACAACAAUUAUUCCCAGCUCAGCACCUGACAGCCUGAACUCCAGGCACUGUGGGGCCCCGGCAGACCAUGGCAGUGCUGAUGUCCCUCAUGUGAGCUCACGGCUCCCAUCUGCUUCAGGGCCACCGUGGCUGAUGGGCAGCUCUACAGCACCCCGUUCUGAUCCCCCUCUGCUCCAGGAUGCUCCCAUCCCCGCUCCUUCCUCAUCACCACAGUAAGACACUGAACUGUUCUUCCAGCCCGAAUCAAUACUCAUGAUGUCGUCGUCGUCGUCAUCUGGGAUCUCAAUCACUUCUGUGGGUUUGGCAGCCAAGUCCUCCUCCUCAGAGCUGCUCUCACGGUAAUCCAGGCCCAGUUUGGAGUACAGAUCCUUCACCAACAUCUCACAUUUGUGAAAGUCCCUGAGGUGGGAAGAAAGAAAGAAGAAGAGACAAGAAAAGAUAAAGUGAGUCCAGAUGUAAAUCCCACAGCAUUGCAGAAAGAAACAGGAACCACUGGGGAGCUCAAAAUGAAACACAGCCACCGUGAAGAGGGAGAAGUAUCCACAAGAGGGGUUCACAGUCAGGGGGGCUGAUUUUAAUAAUCCCUCAAUAAUCACAUACAAGUCAACCAGCACGGCGUCAGCCUACUGGAAGGGAAACAGGCAGCGCUCAGAGAUCAGCCUUUGCCACCCGAUCUGCCCCAUCUCUGCUCUCCAAGACCCAACGCAGACCCACAGCCGCAAUUCCUCACCUCCAAGCAUCAUCGAAGAGGCGAUCGACGUGCGCCACCUCCUCUUCCUUCUGCUUCACGCACACCUCCAGCUCCUCCAGCUGCUGCUUCUUCUGCUUCACGUACUCAGACUUCUCCAGCUCCUUGUUGAUGAUGUCCUCCAGCUCCUCCAUGGAGAUUCCCAUCUCCUCCAUCACUUCUUUUUGCAGCUCUUUGAUGUCCUGGCAAUCCAUUUCUGCUGCACCCGGAACCACAGAGGAGUGGAGGUGGGGAUGGCGCUGUAGGGGUCGAUGAUGAGCUUGGCGCAGCGAACCAUCACGGCCAGCAGGAAGAGGCACGUGAGCACCACGAAGGCGAUGGCGAAGCCCUGAUCCACGUCGAUGGCCAUGCGGGCGGCACUCAGGCGUGCAGCCCCAGCUGCAUCCUGCAGGGCAGAGGAGGGUGGAAGAACAGGAGCAGCAAUCACAGGACAAAGCACCCCACUGUUCCCAGUGGCAUCCCUUCCAGCUUCCCUUCCCUGCACAGCCUGCCCGCUUUCCAGGAAAACCCGGGUUAAAAUAUGCCAUUAAUGUUGGGUACAGCCACACUGGUGGUUGUUAGGCACAGCAGGGCUUGGCUGAGCCCCCACAGAAUCGGGGAAAUCGUGGAAUCACGGAAUCACAGAAUACCUUGAGAUGGAAGGGACCAGUAAGGAUCUUCGAGUCCAGCAGACGUGGCUCGGGUUAGGAGGGGACAGGAGCAUGUGGGAAAGCCGUGCUAAGCAAACAGAGGUGUGCAAACAAGAGCAGAAGAGAAGGUUUGUUCAGGCUGGUGCCAGAAAAGCCACCAAACUUACA